GCUGCCAUGCUGGGGACCCGGGGCGGGUGGAGAGCUCUCCGCCGCUUCUUCUCUUCACUGCCGCGGGAGCAGCGGGUUCCGGCGGCUCGGCUGCGGGUCCGGGAGGCGUUGGGGGCCCGGGAAGCGGCGGGCAAAGUGAAGGUGCAGGGCUGGGUCCGCUCCGUCCGAUCCCAGAAGGAGGUUUUGUUCCUGCAUGUAAAUGAUGGGAGCUCUCUGGAAAGCCUCCAGGUGGUUGCUGAUCCCAGUCUGGAGUGUAGAGACCUGACUUUUGGAAGUGCAGUGGAAGUGCAAGGGAAACUGGUCAAAAGCCCUCACAAGAUGCAAGAUGUGGAGCUGCAAGCUGAUGCCAUUCAUGUGGUGGGACCUUGUGAUACUUUGUCAUUCCCCUUCAAAAUAAAGGAGAGGCACCCACUGGAGUAUGUCCGACAGUUCCCACACUUGCGAUGCAGAAGCAAUGCACUUGGAGCCCUCCUGAGAAUCCGCAGUGAAGCCACGGCAGCAAUCCACUCAUUCUUCCAGGAUAAUGGCUAUGUGCAUAUUCAUACUCCCAUAAUUACAUCAAAUGACUGUGAAGGUGCUGGGGAACUCUUUCAAAUUGGGACAUCACAGGAGGCAAAAGAAUCUGUGGAAAAGAACCACUUCUUUAAUGUGCCCACCUUCCUUACAGUUUCUGGCCAGCUCCAUUUGGAAGUGAUGGCAGGGGCCUUUACUCGUGUGUUCACCUUUGGCCCCACAUUUCGAGCUGAGAACUCACAGAGUCGCCGGCACCUGGCAGAGUUCUACAUGGUGGAGGCUGAGCUGUCCUUCACUGAAAGCCUCCAAGACAUCAUGCAGGUUAUGGAACAUCUUUUCAAGACAGCAACAAGCACUGUGUUCUCCAAAUGCCCUCGUGAUGUUGAGCUUUUUCAUAAAUAUGUAGCUCCUGCACAGAAGGGCAGGUUGGAACAAAUGCUGAAGAACAAAUUUGUAAUAAUUUCCUACAAUGAAGCAGUGGAAAUUUUGAAGCAGGCUUCUCAAACUUUCACUUUUAAGCCAGAGUGGGGCUGUGACCUCCAAACAGAACAUGAGAAGUACCUGGUGAAGCACUGUGGUGAGGUUCCUGUAUUUGUGAUUAACUACCCCUACGACCUCAAACCUUUCUACAUGCGGGACAAUGAAGAUGGACCUCAACAUACAGUUGCAGCUGUUGAUCUUCUAGUACCAGGAAUAGGGGAGUUGUGUGGAGGCAGCUUGAGAGAGGAGCGACUUCCCUUCUUGGAAUCACGCUUACAGAGAUUAGGACUCACAGAUGCCUACCAAUGUUCUUGAGGGGGACAUUUCUUGGCCCAGCUGCAUGGCCAUCACUGCCAGUCUCAAUGGAACAGCCAGUUCACUUCAACAAAGUUAAUCUAAUGCUACUUACCUUAUCUUCCCAAUUUGUCUGUGGACAGCACAGGUCAUUCCUUUCAGGAUUGCAUAAAGUAGAUUAAUUUACAACUCAUCAGUGAUACUAAGUCAUCAAAUUGUGUUCCAAAUUGAAUAGAUUCUGGCCACCAUCGCAUGAGAUAAACAGGUUGCAGAACCACAAGCAAUUUGUGACCUUUUAACAGCUCUGUGAAUGACUCCCUUUGCAAUUGACAGAGCAACUGGGUUGAAAAAUCUUCCCUAACAAAGCUGUUGAAGCAAUUAAAACUGUCCUGCUAAGGAGACAGAACAACCUUUGAAUUAACGAUUUAGCCCAUUAAAAUGACAAGAUUUUAGUGCUCCUCUUGACAAGUGUUUCUUGGUAUGUGCUUUGUCAAAGCUACUGAGAGGUUGAUAGUGUGGAGAAUUUUAAAUUUAGAAGAGUGUAUUCAAAUGCUCUUUAGUAUUUGGAUUGGCCAUUAGGGAGACUGCCUUGAAGAAUGCAGUGGUAGUGCAGGAUUCUUACACUCUCCCCUGAGUAUGAACUCACUUUGAAACAGGCCAGUGCCUGGCAGUUCUUUAUAUCAUCCAUUUGCAAACAAGGUGAAUGAAAUGUCUUCCAUUAUUAUUUGCAUUUAUGAGUCAGAAUGCACUGUAUCACUUCAUCUAACCCAAAGCAGAGGGUCAGAAUUUCUUUCUGUAAUUUCUCUGAGCCUGUAGCUUCUGCUUAUAGGAAAUAUUUUUAGACAGGCAUACAGGUUAACUGUCUGUGUUCCCAGGUAAAGCUGCUGGUAGAAAGCUGUUAACAUGCCCAGUGUAUCUUAUAGACCAAGCAGCCUGUGUAAGGGAGUAGCAGUCGAGUUGAACCUUUUUAGCCUACUCUGUUUCUUAGUUGUCCCUUUGAAGCUUAUGUGGAAUACUCAGAAGAAUCCCAGGGCCCUUUGUGGUACUUGUGAUGGUUGUUUUUACUCCUAACUCUGACCAGCACCUGAUAUCCUAGGUGAGCAUAGUCAGCAGCCCUUACAUAGAUAAUUAAAUAUUGGGUCUUCUGGAGAGGAAAGCAUGACCAAGGCUGAUCAGGUGUAUGGUUAGAUGUUGAGAUAUAGCCUUAGGAAGUCUGAUGCUCAGUAGCAGGGAGCCUUUCAGCAUUGCUAAAAUAGCUCAGCCCUGCCUUAUGCCCCCCAUGAGAAACACUGCCCAUCACCCAUUUUCGGUUUCAUGUCAUAUGUAGCUGUCCUGUAGUCUCAUUUGGGAGACUCUCUUCUCCCCUUUUUCCUCCAUUCCACUGAAGUGAUGCAGCUUCCCAUAGGAGACUGAAACUGUUUUUGCCCCUUGCACAAUUUGAUGUGCUGGGAAGCUGCAGGAUUAGAAUAUCCCAGGUAACUUCUGGAAUCCAGUCCAGAUUCUGCCAGUGAAGAGGUAGUUAUGUUGCCAGCAUCCUUCUCAGAGGAGGUGGCAGGAGAGACUGAAAUUAAUCUCCUCCAUUUUAAUGAAUGAAUUUAGUCUCCAAAGCUGGCACACAAACUCUUUGGAGAACAGCUGAGUCAUUUCUUUUGAAGUAUAUUUGCUAACUUUUGAAUGGACAGCUAUAUGAGAUGUCCCUUUUGAAAUCCCUUAGAUAAUGCCCUAUCUCCAAUUCUAGUUGUUUUCUUCUGUGUUUUGGGACACACUGUUUCUUCAAUGGCUUGAAGAGUUCCUUACUUGUGGAGGAGUCAUUGAUCAAAGAGGCAACCAACAAUCUGUAAACAAAGGAAUAUGGCCAACCUCCUCUCAGUCUUCUUCAGUUCAAUACAGCUUUCCUGUUGUGCAGGUUCCUUUCCAUAAAUAGUAAGAGGUGGGGAAGUACUUGGCUUGACUUUGGAGUAAUUUUAUCUUAUUUUCACACUCCUUCCUUUGAACUGUAGACAGAGCUCAGUGCUGUAGAUGCUGAUUUUGGCUAGACUGAGAGACAUCUAUGAAAUUGAGGUGGGAAAGUCAGGAGAUCAGAGUUUACUCUGGGAAGUCACUUGCUGCCUUUGUGCCUCUUUCCUGCUGUUCUCUGCCAGUGUAGGCUGUUAGCUCCAGAGGGCAGACUGUGAAUUCUGUGACCGUGGGGUACUGAAUAUAUUGUGUUAUAAAUGGACUGUAAAUCCAGCUCAUAUCAGUGGUUUCCACUGAACACUCUGAAUGCCUUCUUUUGUGGAUUACCAAAACAUUGUAGCAGAGCAGAAUUUGCAUGAUACCAAAGAUAGCAUUUUACCCAGCAUUAGAACCCAGAAUCAUGGAAUUGUUUGAGUUGGAAGGGACCUUUAAAGGUCAUCUAGUCCAACUCCCUGUAGAGAACAGGGGACACCUACAGCUCAGUCAUUUCCACAGAGCCUGUUACAGACUGAUCUUGUGUGUCUCCAAGGAUGGGGAUUCACCACAUCUCUGGACAAGCAGUUCCAGUGCCUCACUAGUGGUGCUUGCAUGUGUAUUUCCUAAAACAUUCAAUAAAACUGAUCCUUCAUAUGCUAACCCAUUUCACUGCUAGUUUUUUGUUAGCCAUAUUUUUUCCCUAGUAUAUUUCUUUUCUUCCAGUAAAAUAUUCAGCUCUGGGGAUGACAGUGUCUUUGUUCUCCCAGCCUUACUUUUUUCUGACUGGCAGCAGAGGCUUCAGUAUUACAAGAUGGUUAUAUGACAGAUCAAGAUUAUAUUUGUUUUGAAAGGAGACUAAAAAGCAUAUGUUCUGUUUUACAAACAAUCACUGAGAAUGCACUGAUCUUCACAGUGCCUUGCUGUGCAUCACAGGAUUUGGUGAUGGUGACACAAGGAUAUAGGUUUUGAAAAGGAUGAAAGGAAAUGCUUUUCUAACUUGGCACGUAACAAGCUCAUGGAAUUCACUGCCAGGGGAUGUUGUUGCAGCACAUAUUUUAGUAAGAUUCAAAUCUCAGAACUACCAGUCCUCCAAGUCCAGAACAUGAACAAUGAAGAUAGCAGGGGUCAUGGAAACUUACUUCCCCCAUUGGAAUAACGUUGCACAUUCCCUCAGUUGCCAAUGGAAGUCUCAGCCGUCCUCUGAAGCACAAGCUGCUGGGAGAAAUAGCUAGACUAGUUUGAGAGUGUUUUCCGAGGUGAGAAACAUACAAUGUGUGGAGAUUAUUGAGUGAAGGAAACCUCAGGAAACAUUUUCCAGCCUGAAGGGAUUUUUCUGUUAAUAUGCAGGAAGUUAUUCUUUCUUUCAUCUGAGAAGAACGGAAAAUUUCUCAAUUCCUUCACUUUUUCUAAGUGCAGACAUCAGGAAGGAUUCACAGGCUUGAUCCUCAGCACGUUUAAUUCAAUGGACUUUUUCUAUUAACUUUAAUGGGCUUUGUUUUGGUUCUUUUGCCAGAAUGGCUUCUCAGAGUGCUCUGAGAUCCAUAGAUGAAAGCCUUGGAUAAGCAAGGGUAGAAUUUAUUAUUAUUGUCCAUCUGGAAGGAGCAGAGUUACUUAAUUUUUAUGAUGACUUUAUAAACUGCAUUGCCACCAAAGAGGAAUGAAAGUGCUAGGCAGAGUCUGACUGACGUCACCUGCAAUAUCUGUGCUGUUAUUUCAACUCCCAGUUGCUGCUAGAGUUGCCACCAGCUGGUUUGCCAAUUCUUCUCAGAACUGCUGAGUCGGUGCAGGUUAACCUGCCACGGGCAGCACCCAUAUCACCCACAUCCCUCAGCUUUAUGAGGCCCUUUAUAUUUUACAAGUCACCACCCUCAGCAUUAGAUUUGCUCAUCAUCUUCUUCGCAAAGCUGCCAAGCAGGGUUUUCUGGAGGCAGUUCCCAGUAUGUAAGUGGAAACUCAGUGCUAGGAAGAGGUACCUAGACCUGCGAAAAUUUGGCUCUGUUCCUCAUGGAGGCUUCGGGAUGGGGUUUGAACGCUACCUGCAGUACAUCCUGGG
Molecule: RNA transcript, 5272 nt
Organism: Centrocercus urophasianus (Greater sage-grouse)
Lineage: Eukaryota; Metazoa; Chordata; Aves; Galliformes; Phasianidae
Gene: NARS2
Gene name: asparaginyl-tRNA synthetase 2, mitochondrial
Exons: 15
Source: RefSeq, a predicted model, not a curated record